This 424-nucleotide ribosomal RNA is filed under the name Fusobacteriota bacterium. RNAcentral's name for it is "Fusobacteria bacterium partial 16S ribosomal RNA". It matches the Rfam family "Bacterial small subunit ribosomal RNA", at positions 355 to 776 of the family's 1533-position model. Lineage: Bacteria; Fusobacteriati; Fusobacteriota. The record is from RNAcentral.
UGAGGAAUAUUGGUCAAUGGGCGAGAGCCUGAACCAGCCAAGUAGCGUGCAGGAUGACGGCCCUAUGGGUUGUAAACUGCUUUUAUGUGGGGAUAAAGUGCGUGACGUGUCAUGCAUUGCAGGUACCACAUGAAUAAGGACCGGCUAAUUCCGUGCCAGCAGCCGCGGUAAUACGGAAGGUCCGGGCGUUAUCCGGAUUUAUUGGGUUUAAAGGGAGCGUAGGCUGUCUAUUAAGCGUGUUGUGAAAUUUACCGGCUCAACCGGUGGCUUGCAGCGCGAACUGGUCGACUUGAGUAUGCAGGAAGUAGGCGGAAUUCAUGGUGUAGCGGUGAAAUGCUUAGAUGUCAUGACGAACUCCGAUUGCGCAGGCAGCUUACUGUAGCAUAACUGACGCUGAUGCUCGAAAGUGCGGGUAGCAAACAGG